AAAAAGAAAGAAAGAAAGAAAAA
This 23-nucleotide small RNA is filed under the name Arabidopsis thaliana (thale cress). Its description in RNAcentral is "ATSL253150". Lineage: Eukaryota; Viridiplantae; Streptophyta; Magnoliopsida; Brassicales; Brassicaceae. The record is from RNAcentral.